Molecule: ribosomal RNA, 497 nt
Filed under: uncultured bacterium
Lineage: Bacteria
Description: partial 16S ribosomal RNA
Rfam family: Bacterial small subunit ribosomal RNA
Source: RNAcentral
GAUGAACGCUGGCGGCGUGCCUAAUACAUGCAAGUCGAGCGAACAGAUGAGGAGCUUGCUCCUCUGACGUUAGCGGCGGACGGGUGAGUAACACGUGGAUAACCUACCUAUAAGACUGGGAUAACUUCGGGAAACCGGAGCUAAUACCGGAUAAUAUAUUGAACCGCAUGGUUCAAUAGUGAAAGACGGUUUUGCUGUCACUUAUAGAUGGAUCCGCGCCGCAUUAGCUAGUUGGUAAGGUAACGGCUUACCAAGGCAACGAUGCGUAGCCGACCUGAGAGGGUGAUCGGCCACACUGGAACUGAGACACGGUCAAGACUCCUACGGGAGGAAGCAGUAGGGAAUCUUCCGCAAUGGGCGAAAGCCUGACGGAGCACCGCCGCGUGAGUGAUGAAGGUCUUCGGAUCGUAAAACUCUGUUAUUAGGGAAGAACAAAUGUGUAAGUAACUAUGCACGUCUUGACGGUACCUAAUCAGAAAGCCACGGCUAACUACGUG